AUUCUACUCCCUCCGUCCGAAAAAGCUUGUCCAUCGAAUGGAUGUAUCGAGCACCAAGUUAGUGCUAGAUACAUCCAUUCGAGCGACAAACUUGGGACAAGCUUUUUCGGACGGAGGGAGUAUGUA
This is a non-coding RNA of Triticum urartu, 126 nucleotides long. The record is from Rfam. NCBI's taxonomy places the organism in Eukaryota, Viridiplantae, Streptophyta, Magnoliopsida, Poales, Poaceae.